UCUGCCACCGAAUACAUUAGCAUGGGAUAAUGGAAUAGGACCCUGUCCUCCUAUUUUGCGUGUUGGUUUUCGAGGACCGGGUAAUGAUUAAUAGGGAUAGUUGGGGGCAUUAAUAUUUAAUUGUCAGAGGUGAAAUUCUUGGAUUUAUGAAAGAUUGACUUCUGCGAAAGCAUCUGCCAAGGAUGUUUUCAUUAAUCAAGAACGAAAGUUAGGGGAUCGAAGACGAUCAGAUACCGUCGUAGUCUUAACCAUAAACGAUGCCGACCAGCGAUUAGGAGACGUUGAAUACAAAACACCACCGUUGGGUCGUGGCGGGCCGUGCCCCGCGGUCCGUCGUGCGCGGCGACGCGUGCGGCGGCCACGGGGACCGCGGUCCGUAUCAGCCACCCGACGGCCCGGUGAAUGA
RNAcentral lists this ribosomal RNA (406 nucleotides) under Acanthamoeba sp. RNAcentral describes it as "SSU rRNA". It matches the Rfam family "Eukaryotic small subunit ribosomal RNA", at positions 788 to 1074 of the family's 1831-position model. RNAcentral also lists the same sequence under 1 other name. Lineage: Eukaryota; Discosea; Longamoebia; Acanthamoebidae. The record is from RNAcentral.